Molecule: ribosomal RNA, 83 nt
Filed under: Bacillus sp. D12
Lineage: Bacteria; Bacillati; Bacillota; Bacilli; Caryophanales; Bacillaceae
Source: RNAcentral
CCAUUCCGAACACGGAAGUUAAGCUCUUCAGCGCCGAUGGUAGUUGGGACGCGAGUCCCUGUGAGAGUAGGACGUUGCCGGGC